Molecule: small RNA, 4373 nt
Filed under: Pan troglodytes (chimpanzee)
Lineage: Eukaryota; Metazoa; Chordata; Mammalia; Primates; Hominidae
Description: retained intron
Source: RNAcentral
GGGGACCUGGGAGAGUAUCUAUUUGGGAUGCCACAUAGUAGCAGAAAGGACCCAUCGAGAAAUCUCAAGAAGAGACUCAGGGACUUAUAGAAACAUUGGUUAAGGAUGGUUUCCCCUUUAAAUGGGGAAGCAGGCCCAGAAAAGAGAUGAUACUUACCCACAAUCACCCAACUAGUUAGCAGUGGAACCCUAAACUGCACCUUGAAGUGAAGGGUCCCAUAAGAAAGGUGGAUGGAUUCUUCUUAGUGGGGCCAUCUUAGUCCAGAUGCAGCAGGUGAAGGAAGAUGGGCAUUUGAGAAUGACCCACUGAAAGGUUCCCCAAGUGGUCCUAGCACCAGGAGCUUGUCACGGAGUGUGGGCUUCAUACUGUUGAGCUGCAGGCCCUGCUUGGGGCUUCUGGAAAGGGGACAACCUCUGGGUUGUCUUCUGGGAAGAACAGUCUCUGGUAAGGAGAGGUUGGAGACUCUCUAAAACUGGCCCUGACCCUUCUGAGCUGUGUUUCUCCUCUAGGGGCUGAGCUGGAGGAGAGUAGCAAAAACAUGAAGAAGUUGGAUGCCAUGACCCUCAUUAAAGAAGGUGGGAGUCGACACACAUUAGGGCUGGGACCCAGGGCAGACAGGACCACGCUCCACUUUUCCACCACACUACAGAAGGAGGUGGCUGCUUGAAGCAGCUGUCUGGGGACCCUCAUUUUGAUAGGUCCGAGUUGGCCGGUUGUUCUGGCUCCUGUGACCUGUCGUUGGAGAUCAUAAUCAUAGGUGAUUGCCCACUCACCUGAAAGCGUAUACCCUUUGGGACUGCUUAGAUUGAACUCUGGAAGCUGGAAGCAUUCAGCAUGGAGCUUGUUAUAUCAGCGGGGAGGUGAAGUGCCUUCUGAGUGUGGGGUGGGAGUGCUCUCCGAUCUUCCAGAGAAACCCUGGGAUCUUCAGCCCCAGUGACAUGGGCUUCUGUCAUUGCAGACAUGUCCAUCUUCGGGCACUGCCCUGCCCAUGAUGACUUCUACUUGGUUGUGUGUAACCACUGCAGCCAAGUGGUGAAGCCUCAAGCUUUCCAGAAGCACUGCGAAAGAAGACAUGGGCCCCUCAGCAAGCUUUAUGCCCGGGCCCCACCCCCACCUCCAGCCCCUGCCAGCUCUCAGAAAUGCCAUGUAGUGAAUGGGCAGGGCCCAGCUUGUAGGGCCCCAGGUUCCACGAAAACCUCCUCCAGGGAGAAGGGCCAGGGGUCCCGGAGCCGUGGCCACCAGCCUCCUGAGAAGACCCAGAAAGACAACCUCUGCCUUUUCGUGCCUGUGGUGAAUCUGGAGAAGAUGUCCAGUCUCCCGAAGCCUGAUGGACAUGGAAUCAGGGUGGCCCCACCCUCUGCUUUUCUCAGUCAGCCAGGGGGCCUCACCAGGGACUCCCCUGGAAAACCUCCCAUGGCUCCCCCUUCUAAAGAACCUCCUGGCAGAGAGAACAUCGAGAUCAUCCCCAGUGAGGGGUCCAGUCACUGGGCUGAAGGCAGCCCUCCUGAAAAGGAGCCCAGUGGGACCAGGCUGCCCGCUAAAACCCACCGGAAGAUGGCUCGGAAGGAGUGCGACCUCAACAGGCAGUGUGGGGUAAUAAAUCCAGAGACCAAAAAGAUCUGUACCCGCCUGUUGACCUGCAAGAUCCACUCAGUACACCAGCGCCGGGAAGUCCAGGGCCGGGCCAAGGACUUUGACGUGCUGGUGGCAGAGCUGAAGGCCAACUCCCGCAAAGGGGAGUCUCCCAAGGAGAAGAGCCCAGGGCGCAAGGAGCAAGUUCUCGAGCGCCCCUCCCAGGAGCUCCCCUCCUCAGUCCAGGUUGUAGCAGCGGUGGCUGCUCCCAGCAGCACCUUCUCUGUUCGUGCCAAGCAGACCUACCCAUACUGUGCACUGCCCAGGUACGUCUAGAAUCCAACCCCUACCUCACCUGGGGGUACUUGGCCCCUAAGCCAUCAGGGGCCCCUGGAAACAGGCUCAGGGAGUGUCCUGGAAGAGGCACUCCCUCAGCCCUGAGUGUGGGGGUAUUCCUGGGGCUCCUGACAGUGGUGUGGAAGCAGGAGACUCCCCUGUUUCCAACCAGGCAUACCACAGCACCCCAGCCUCUCGGCAGUGUGCCAGAUCCAACACUCAGGAUAUGAACAUUUUCCCAGCUGCCUCCAACAGACCGAAACUUGUCACUGGGGAGCUGAAAGGGUCACACUCCUGGGCAAGGCAGCCCUAUGUGUAUUCACUCACUGGCCCCUUCGCGUGCAGAGGCUAUGCCGGACCCCAGGGAGAGCCUGACUUGCUGAAGGAGACACACAUGCAUCUCUGCCUGUCACACAAGGGGCAGACACGAAACACAGGCUCAGCUCACAGACAGGCUCACAGGAAUAUGUGAUGCAAGAAGGGGGUUGAGCGAGUUGACUGGGCUGACCAGAGCUGGGUACAGUUUUAACUGUGAAGAUUUUCUGGAGGAGGCGGAUCUGCAGCAGAUUAUCCCCUGAGGAGGAAGGGGCUGGGAGGUGAAGGGGCUGGGGAGAGAAUCCCUUGGGAGCAGUCUCUCUGUCUCUUACUCUGUGAGCUAUGUCGUUCCCUCCUGUCCUUCCCUUCCCUCUGUCCUCUUCUGAUUGCCCUGCAGGGUGUCUGCCCUGGUGCCCUGCUCUUUGAGCUCAGCAGGUUCAAGGAUGCCCCUACUCUGACCCCACAACAGUCACAUUCCCCUGGCAUCCCUUUUGGCCCUUCCAGGUCCCGGGCCUCCUCCGAGAGUGAAUUGGAUGAUGAAGGCCCCUGUGGUGGUGAUGGGGACCCAGGCCUGUUCCCCUUCCCCAUGCCCCGGGGUGGGACCCAGGCCUCCAGCGAAGAGAGUGAGGAGGAGGGGACAUCUGACGACCUCCACCCACCCCCUGACUGCCAUUAUGCAACCCGGCCCCCACGGCCACAGGCGUUCUGCACCUUUGGGAGCCGGCUGGUGAGCCCAGGAUGCUAUGUGUUUAGCCGCCGGCUGGACCGGUUCUGCUCAGCACUCAGCUCCAUGCUGGAACGGCACCUCAGCUCACACAUGUGGAAGAAGAUCCCACCGGCAGCUGAACCUCCAGCUCACCUUGUCAACUCCCCGUUAUCUGCUCCCCUGAGCCCAUCCUCUACAGGCACCUGCCCCCGCCUUCCAGGUCCACCCCCGAGACCUGCCUGCCCAGCCUCCAUGCCCCCCACCAAGGACAACCUUGUCCCCAGCUACCCUGCAGGCUCCCCCAGCGUGGCGGCUGCCUGUAGCCAGGCAGAGUGCAUGGGCGGGAGCCAGGCUAUCACCUCACCACUGCCUGCCAACACGCCAUCCCCGUCCUUCAGCAAGCUGCCGCCUUCCAAGGCCAGCAAGUCAUCCAAAGGCAAGGACGGGGUGGAGGUGGAGGCCCCUUCUCGAAAGCGGAAGUUAUCCCCUGGCCCCACCACUCUUAAACGGACCUGCAUCCUGGAGCCCACUGGAAAAGGGAAACCCUCUGGCUGUAGGGGCCUCUCGGCCAAAACUAAAACAGCCCUGAGCAUGGGGCUUAAUGGGACAAUGGGGCCAAGAGUGAAGCGGGCAGGGCCCCUGGACUGUCGUGGCUCCCCUCAUCAGCUCCCCACACCAGUCAAGGCUUCUCAGCUGGAGAACCAGGGAGCAGCCGGACACCCAGCCAAGGCCCUGCCAACCAACUGCCUCUCUGAGGAGGAGGUGGCCAAGAAGCGGAAAAACCUGGCCACUUAUUGCCGGCCAGUGAAGGCCAAGCACUGUCAGGCUGGUGCCCCUGCUGAUGUGGCCUGCUCUGUGCGCCGCAAGAAGCCAGGCCCGGCCCUGGCCUUUGAGGAGAAGUGCUCUACACUGAAGGUACCAGCCAGGCUCCCUGAAGAUUGAUGAGGGUGGGGCACACAGGGGGUACCUGAUACAGAGAAGAUGCUACAUUGGUGUUUGUGCAGGGAAAGGGAGGAAGGGGAAGUUGAGAGAGUUCCUGGACUGUUUUCUUUAGGACGAGGUAGGUCAGUUCUUAGCAAAGUGUCUCCAGCUUUUUGCCUGGUGAACCUUCCCCUAUCCCUAACCCUUUCCCUUGGGCUGAGGAGAUGCGGCACCCCUGCACCCCUGCUUUUGCUAUAAUCAAAGGGCUACUUCUUUCUGAAUUGGCUGUGACCCUCAUUCCAGGUACUGGAGCUACCUCUGUUCCCUGAAGGAAAGGGAGUUUGAGUCCCUGGGUCACAGCCUAACAUGCCGAGCAGCAAGUCAAAAGCCCAUUAACGAGAAAGUGCCUGCCCACUGCAACGGAGCCGCCAGCACCUCCUCCCCUCCAGAUCCGGGCCCCAGGCUGCUGCCGCUUUUUAUAACUUUAUAUUAUUUUUUUUAAGAAAAAAAGCUCUUUAAAAU